GAUGCGCCGAAGUUGUUUAUUUAAUCUGAUUGAUGAUUUACAAGGACCCCGGGCACACAUAUUUAUACCCUCGAGUGGAUAGUAGUCCAUGGAUACAACACACGACUCCUAAUAGAUAAAAGGAAAUAACAAACUCUAUCUCUAACACGACACGGUUUCUAAUAUAUAAAAGAAAACAAACAAGUCCCGAUCGGACACUAACUCUCUUAGAGAUAAAGAAAAAUCUAAACUAACUCUAACUAACAGAUAGAUUUAAGUUACACAUAUUGUGAUUAUUCCCGAAUCUAUCUGUAACAUCUUAGGCCAAUCGGACUCUAUUUCUUAUCCGAUCCGGACUCCAUCGACUGAAUCCGAGUUGUAUUCCGCUUGGUCUUCUGUCCGAUUGCCUUUUUUCUAUCUGAUUCGGUUUUUUAUCGCGAUUUAAUCUAUAACGGCGAUUUGCUAAAAUAUGGCGUUAACACCACCAUCCCUGUAAGCUGACCCUGGACCUCUCCGUUUUACCACCCACCGGCCUCCUCGCCAGAUCUAGCCAAAGAAGAACCCAGGAUUAGAUGACAUUCCUUUAGCCGUCUGAGCUUCCCCUGCUAACAAGCUGCCGUCUCAAUCCAGCCUUAAAAACUCUACGCAGAGAAGGGGAGGAGCUCCAAACAAGACAGGUUUGGGUGCUCACCGGCAACGAGUUAGACAACCCACCGUAGUCAACUCCCUUACCACAACCAUCUAGGCCUGCGCUGACGUCGGAAACGUUACCGCUCUGGUUCCGACGCCACCCGCUGGCGCUCCCAUUGCCCGACCGCUCCCCACCUGGCCGCCAUGGCGGCAUCCCAGUUGCCUAGCCACCGAGGUCUGGUCGCCCAUGCCCGCACCAGCGAGCCAC
This 877-nucleotide long non-coding RNA is filed under the name Oryza brachyantha (malo sina). RNAcentral describes it as "long non-coding RNA (OBRA_LNC002795)". Lineage: Eukaryota; Viridiplantae; Streptophyta; Magnoliopsida; Poales; Poaceae. The record is from RNAcentral.